AAUGCAACUUGCGCCCUCUGGUAUUCCGGAGGGCAUGCCUGUUUGAGUGUCGUGAACACCUCAACCCUCCAAUGUUUUUGCAUUGAAGGUGUUGGUAGUGAGCGCUGCCGGACUUUUGGUCGGCUCGCUUUAAAAUCAUUAGCUGGAUCCAUUCUGACCUGGUUCUACUCGGCGUAAUAAGUUAUUAUCGUCGAGGACGCUUGUCUUUCUAGGCAGGCGGCCACAGUAAGGGUGUUUGAACCGCUUCCAACACGUCUUGCUCUUGUAGCAAACACUUGAACCUCUGACCUCAAAUCAGGCAGGACUACCCGCUGAACUUAA
Molecule: unclassified non-coding RNA, 321 nt
Filed under: uncultured fungus
Lineage: Eukaryota; Fungi
Also listed under: 1 other name
Description: partial contains 5.8S ribosomal RNA, internal transcribed spacer 2, and large subunit ribosomal RNA
Rfam family: 5.8S ribosomal RNA (bases 1-52)
Source: RNAcentral